RNAcentral lists this ribosomal RNA (253 nucleotides) under uncultured bacterium. RNAcentral describes it as "partial 16S ribosomal RNA". It matches the Rfam family "Bacterial small subunit ribosomal RNA", at positions 524 to 776 of the family's 1533-position model. The record is from RNAcentral.
UACGUAGGGGGCUAGCGUUGUCCGGAUUUAUUGGGCGUAAAGAGCGUGUAGGCGGCCAGGUAGGUCUGCUGUGAAAUCUAUGGGCUCAACUCAUAGUCUGCAUCGGAAACUGCCGGGCUUGAGUGUGGGAGAGGUGAGUGGAAUUCCUGGUGUAGCGGUGAAAUGCGUAGAUAUCAGGAGGAACACCUGUGGCGAAAGCGGCUCACUGGACCAUAACUGACGCUGAUGCACGAAAGCUAGGGGAGCAAACAGG